CAAAGAACUUUCUUUGUUGUUUUGUUGUGGUAGAGCCCCAAGACCAGGGCCUGCUGCAGGUCAAUAAAAUC
RNAcentral lists this long non-coding RNA (71 nucleotides) under Cairina moschata (Muscovy duck). RNAcentral's name for it is "domestica (muscovy Duck (domestic type)) lncRNA (ENSCMMG00000008383.1)". The record is from RNAcentral. Lineage: Eukaryota; Metazoa; Chordata; Aves; Anseriformes; Anatidae.